Molecule: ribosomal RNA, 331 nt
Filed under: uncultured Tepidamorphus sp.
Lineage: Bacteria; Pseudomonadati; Pseudomonadota; Alphaproteobacteria; Hyphomicrobiales; Tepidamorphaceae
Description: bacterial SSU rRNA
Rfam family: Bacterial small subunit ribosomal RNA
Source: RNAcentral
GUGCCAGCAGCGGCGGUAAUACGGAGGGGCUAGCGUUGUUCAGAAUUACUGGGCGUAAAGCGCACGUAGGCGGACUGUUUAGUCAGAGGUGAAAUCCCAAGGCUCAACCUUGGAAUUGCCUUUGAUACUGACAGUCUUGAGUUCGAGAGAGGUGAGUGGAAUUCCGAGUGUAGAGGUGAAAUUCGUAGAUAUUCGGAGGAACACCAGUGGCGAAGGCGGCUCACUGGCUCGAUACUGACGCUGAGGUGCGAAAGCGUGGGAGCAAACGAGGAUUAGAUACCCUGGUAGUCCACGCCGUAAACGAUGAAUGCUAGCCGUCGGUCAGCAUGCU